UUUGGGAGAAGCGUAGUUGUUCUUGGAACUCUGUAUGCUGUACAGCCACAAGCGGCAUGGAUGCCGAUUGAGUUGCAAACAGCCAUGGAUGGCUGAUUCUGCAACGGUGGCGGGCGUGAAUAGAGUAUAGUGCAGAGUUCGUAGAACAACUUGCUUCGUACAAG
Firmicutes bacterium CAG:882 is the source of this 164-nucleotide regulatory RNA element. The record is from Rfam. NCBI's taxonomy places the organism in Bacteria, Bacillati, Bacillota.